Molecule: ribosomal RNA, 1063 nt
Filed under: uncultured bacterium
Lineage: Bacteria
Description: bacterial SSU rRNA
Rfam family: Bacterial small subunit ribosomal RNA
Source: RNAcentral
CUCCUACGGGAGGCUGCAACUAGGAAUUAUGCGCAAUGGCCGAAAGGCUGACGCUGCGACGUCGCGUGGAGGAUGAAGGUCUUAGGAUCGUAAACUCCUUUUAUCUACGAACAAGUUCUGAGUGUAGUAGAUGAAUAAGUGCCUGCCAACCACGUGCCAGAAGCAUCGGUAAUACGUGGGACACAAGCGUUACCCGGAUUCACUGGGCGUAAAGAGAUGCGUAGGCGUCUAGAAAAGUUCUGUGUUAAAUCCCAAGGCUCACCCUUGGAACCGCAUAGAAAACUCUCUGGAUUGAGUCAUGUAGAGAAUAGGGGAAUUCCUGGUGGAGCGGUUAAAUGCGUUGAUAUCAGGAGGAACACCAAUGGCGAAAGCACCUAUUUGGACAUGUACUGACGCUAAGGCUCGAAAGUGUGGGGAGCAAAACGGAUUAGAUACCCGUGUAGUCCACACCGUAAACGAUCCCUGUUAGAUGUUCGAAAUUUGCUGAAAUUUCUCUUCGGAGAAGGAUAAGCACUUUUUGAGUGUCGCAGCUAACGCGUUAAACAGGGCGCCUGUUGAAGUACGACCGCAAGGUUAAAACACAAAGGAAUUGACGGGGACCCGCACAAGCAGUGGAGUGCCUGGUUUAAUUCGAUGAUCAACGAAGAACCUCACCUGGGCUUGAACUGUGGCUGCUAAUCCUAUGAAAGUAGGACUCUUUCGAAGGUGCCACAGAGGUGAUGCAUGGCUGUCGUAAGCUCGUGUCGUGAGAUGUCGGGUUAAGUCCCACAACGAGCGCAACCCCUUUCAGAUGUUACAAUUACUUCUGAUACUGCCCCGCCAAAACGGGGAGGAAGGAGGGGAUGACGUCCAGUCAUCAUGUCCCUUAUGUCCAGGGCUACACAGACACUACAAUGGCGAUAACAAUGGGUUGCCAAGCCGCAAGGCGGAGCUAAUCCCAUCAAAGAUCGUCUCAGUUCAGAUUGCAGGCUGCAACUCGCCUGUAUGAAGUUGGAAUUGCUAGUAAUCGGAAAUCAGCGUGUUCCGGUGAAUACGUUCUCGGGUCUUGAUCACACCGCCCGUC